RNAcentral lists this ribosomal RNA (429 nucleotides) under bacterium. RNAcentral describes it as "partial 16S ribosomal RNA". It matches the Rfam family "Bacterial small subunit ribosomal RNA", at positions 355 to 776 of the family's 1533-position model. RNAcentral also lists the same sequence under 1 other name. The record is from RNAcentral.
UAGGGAAUCUUCGGCAAUGGGGGCAACCCUGACCGAGCAACGCCGCGUGAGUGAAGAAGGUUUUCGGAUCGUAAAGCUCUGUUGUAAGUCAAGAACGGGUGUGAGAGUGGAAAGUUCACACUGUGACGGUAGCUUACCAGAAAGGGACGGCUAACUACGUGCCAGCAGCCGCGGUAAUACGUAGGUCCCGAGCGUUGUCCGGAUUUAUUGGGCGUAAAGCGAGCGCAGGCGGUUUGAUAAGUCUGAAGUUAAAGGCUGUGGCUCAACCAUAGUUCGCUUUGGAAACUGUCAAACUUGAGUGCAGAAGGGGAGAGUGGAAUUCCAUGUGUAGCGGUGACAUGCGUAGAUAUAUGGAGGAACACCGGUGGCGAAAGCGGCUCUCUGGUCUGUAACUGACGCUGAGGCUCGAAAGCGUGGGGAGCGAACAGG